GGGGAUCCCCAGGGGUCGGCAGGGAAACUGGUGGGGCCUCACCCUGGUUCCCUGGGGGAGUCCCCUGACUUGUUGAACUUCCUAACAAUCCUUCCAUGAUCUCAUUUUGCAGACAGAGAGGGCCACACAGCUCGUUUGCAGCAAGCACUGCAGCAAUGAAUGAGCGUUCCUGUUGCUCCACGUUACCGGCAGCGUUUGGCUGUGUUGGUGUUUUGGAUUUGGCCAUUCUGUUAGUACGUUUAAGGAGGUCAUUCCAUACCUUUAUGUAAUGUUGUAUAUAUGAGGCCGGACAAUUAAGUUCGUGAACUCAUCCUGGAAAAAGUGCUCCACACCUCACUGCUGAAUAUCACUACGUUCACC
Hipposideros armiger (great roundleaf bat) is the source of this 360-nucleotide long non-coding RNA. RefSeq lists it as uncharacterized. Lineage: Eukaryota; Metazoa; Chordata; Mammalia; Chiroptera; Hipposideridae. The transcript is spliced from 3 exons. The record is from RefSeq and is a predicted model, not a curated record.